This 57-nucleotide transfer RNA is filed under the name Camelus bactrianus (Bactrian camel). It matches the Rfam family "tRNA", at positions 8 to 63 of the family's 71-position model. From Rfam's summary of the family: Transfer RNA (tRNA) molecules are approximately 80 nucleotides in length. Their secondary structure includes four short double-helical elements and three loops (D, anti-codon, and T loops). Further hydrogen bonds mediate the characteristic L-shaped molecular structure. tRNAs have two regions of fundamental functional importance: the anti-codon, which is responsible for specific mRNA codon recognition, and the 3' end, to which the tRNAs corresponding amino acid is attached (by aminoacyl-tRNA synthetases). tRNAs cope with the degeneracy of the genetic code in two manners: having more than one tRNA (with a specific anti-codon) for a particular amino acid; and 'wobble' base-pairing, i.e. permitting non-standard base-pairing at the 3rd anti-codon position. RNAcentral also lists the same sequence under 2 other names. Lineage: Eukaryota; Metazoa; Chordata; Mammalia; Artiodactyla; Camelidae. The record is from Rfam by way of RNAcentral.
UAUCUCAGUGGCAGAGCGCAUGCCUAGCAUGCAUGAGGUCCUGGGUUUAAUCCCCAG